AGUGAACGCUGGCGGUAGGCCUAACACAUGCAAGUCGAACGGCAGCACAGUAAGAGCUUGCUCUUACGGGUGGCGAGUGGCGGACGGGUGAGGAAUACAUCGGAAUCUACUUUUUCGUGGGGGAUAACGUAGGGAAACUUACGCUAAUACCGCAUACGACCUACGGGUGAAAGCAGGGGAUCUUCGGACCUUGCGCGAUUGAAUGAGCCGAUGUCGGAUUAGCUAGUUGGCGGGGUAAAGGCCCACCAAGGCGACGAUCCGCAGCUGGUCUGAGAGGAUGAUCAGCCACACUGGAACUGAGACACGGUCCAGACUCCUACGGGAGGCAGCAGUGAGGAAUAUUGGACAAUGGGCGCAAGCCUGAUCCAGCCAUACCGCGUGGGUGAAGAAGGCCUUCGGGUUGUAAAGCCCUUUUGUUGGGAUAGAAAAGCAGCAGGUUAAUACCCCGCUGUUCUGACGGUACCCAAAGAAUAAGCACCGGCUAACUUCGUG
Molecule: ribosomal RNA, 492 nt
Filed under: uncultured bacterium
Lineage: Bacteria
Description: partial 16S ribosomal RNA
Rfam family: Bacterial small subunit ribosomal RNA
Source: RNAcentral